CGGGGAAAAAAGGAGGAACCGGGAUAGAAAAACAAUUGACCUGCCCCAAAUUACUUAUAACGUUAGACACCUUUUCUGAAAUUCUCCAGUCAUUAAAUCUUUUACAAAAAAAUCAUUGAUUAUAAAAUAAGAAGAUGUGGUAUGAUUGCCAAUGAGACAACUCUCAAAAAGAGACCAAUAUGACACAGAAAUUAAAACAACUAUAGGUAACUGUACGGUCGUCAACAAUGAGCAAAGCCCAUACCGCAUAGUCAGCUGUAAAGGGCCCGAUAUGUCAAUGUAAAACAAUUCAAACAAGAAAACUUAUAACGGCCUUAUUUAUGUGCAAA
RNAcentral lists this long non-coding RNA (329 nucleotides) under Mytilus galloprovincialis (Mediterranean mussel). The record is from RNAcentral. Lineage: Eukaryota; Metazoa; Mollusca; Bivalvia; Mytilida; Mytilidae.